GACGAACGCUGGCGGCGUGCCUAAUACAUGCCAGUCGAACGAGAGCGCCCGGUGCUUGCACUGGUCAAUCUAGUGGCGAACGGGUGAAUAACACGUGGGUAACCUGCCCAUCAGAGGGGGAUAACAUCCGGAAACGGAUGCUAAAACCGCAUAGGUCUUCGAGCCGCAUGGCUUGAAGAGGAAAAGAGGCGCAAGCUUCUGCUGAUGGAUGGACCCGCGGUGCAUUAGCUAGUUGGUGAGGUAACGGCUCACCAAGGCCGUGAUGCAUAGCCGACCUGAGAGGGUGAUCGGCCACAUUGGGACUGAGACACGGCCCAAACUCCUACGGGAGGCAGCAGUAGGGAAUCUUCCGCAAUGGACGCAAGUCUGACGGAGCAACGCCGCGUGAGUGAAGAAGGUUUUCGGAUCGUAAAACUCUGUUGUUAGAGAAGAACAAGUGCUAGAGUAACUGUUAGCGCCUUGACGGUAUCUAACCAGAAAGCCACGGCUAACUACGUG
RNAcentral lists this ribosomal RNA (498 nucleotides) under uncultured bacterium. RNAcentral describes it as "partial 16S ribosomal RNA". It matches the Rfam family "Bacterial small subunit ribosomal RNA", at positions 28 to 507 of the family's 1533-position model. The record is from RNAcentral.